This 253-nucleotide ribosomal RNA is filed under the name uncultured bacterium. RNAcentral describes it as "partial 16S ribosomal RNA". It matches the Rfam family "Bacterial small subunit ribosomal RNA", at positions 524 to 776 of the family's 1533-position model. The record is from RNAcentral.
UACGAGGGGGGCGAGCGUUGUCCGGAAUUAUUGGGCGUAAAGAGCUCGUAGGCGGUUUGUCGCGUCUGCUGUGAAAACUCGGGGCUUAACCCCGGGCCUGCAGUGGGUACGGGCAGACUAGAGUGCGGUAGGGGAGACUGGAAUUCCUGGUGUAGCGGUGAAAUGCGCAGAUAUCAGGAGGAACACCGGUGGCGAAGGCGGCUACCUGGACAGAUACUGACGCUGAGGCGCGAGAGCGUGGGGAGCAAACAGG